UACGUAGGGACCGAGCGUUGUCCGGAUUCAUUGGGCGUAAAGAGCUCGUAGGCGGCUGUUCAAGUCGAACGUGAAAACUCGGAGCUCAACUCCGAGCCUGCGUUCGAUACUGGACGGCUAGAGUCUGGUAGGGGGAUCUGGAAUUCCUGGUGUAGCGGUGGAAUGCGCAGAUAUCAGGAGGAACACCGGUGGCGAAGGCGGAUCUCUGGGCCUUACCUGACGCUGAGGCGCGAAAGCUAGGGGAGCGAACAGG
Molecule: ribosomal RNA, 253 nt
Filed under: uncultured bacterium
Lineage: Bacteria
Description: partial 16S ribosomal RNA
Rfam family: Bacterial small subunit ribosomal RNA
Source: RNAcentral